This 497-nucleotide ribosomal RNA is filed under the name uncultured bacterium. Its description in RNAcentral is "partial 16S ribosomal RNA". It matches the Rfam family "Bacterial small subunit ribosomal RNA", at positions 28 to 507 of the family's 1533-position model. The record is from RNAcentral.
GAUGAACGCUGGCGGCGUGCCUAAUACAUGCAAGUCGAGCGAACAGACGAGGAGCUUGCUCCUCUGACGUUAGCGGCGGACGGGUGAGUAACACGUGGAUAACCUACCUAUAAGACUGGGAUAACUUCGGGAAACCGGAGCUAAUACCGGAUAAUAUAUUGAACCGCAUGGUUCAAUAGUGAAAGACGGUUUUGCUGUCACUUAUAGAUGGAUCCGCGCCGCAUUAGCUAGUUGGGAAGGUAACGGCUUACCAAGGCAACGAUGCGUAGCCGACCUGAGAGGGUGAUCGGCCACACUGGAACUGAGACACGGUCCAGACUACUACGGGAGGCAGCAGUAGGGAAUCGUCCGCAAUGGGCGAAAGCCUGACGGAGCAGCGCCGCGUGAGUGAUGAAGGUCUUCGGAUCGUAAAACUCUGUUAUUAGGGAAGAACAAAUGUGUAAGUAACUAUGCACGUCUUGACGGUACCUAAUCAGAAAGCCACGGCUAACUACGUG